This 506-nucleotide ribosomal RNA is filed under the name uncultured bacterium. RNAcentral's name for it is "partial 16S ribosomal RNA". It matches the Rfam family "Bacterial small subunit ribosomal RNA", at positions 30 to 523 of the family's 1533-position model. The record is from RNAcentral.
AUUGAACGCUGGCGGCAGGCCUAACACAUGCAAGUCGAACGGUAACAGGAAACAGCUUGCUGUUUCGCUGACGAGUGGCGGACGGGUGCGUAAUGUCUGGGAAACUGCCUGAUGGAGGGGGAUAACUACUGGAAACGGUAGCUAAUACCGCAUAACGUCGCAAGACCAAAGAGGGGGACCUUCGGGUCGCUUGCCAUGGGAUGUGCCCAGAUGGGAUUCGUUAGUAGGUGGGGUAACGGCUCACCUAGGCGACGAUCCCUAGCUGCGCUGCGGGGAUGACCGACCGCGCUGGAACUAAGACAAGGUCCAUAAUCCUACGGGAGGCAGCAGUGGGGAAUAUUGCACAUUGGGGGCAAGCAUGAUGCAGCCAGGCCGCGUGUAGUAAGAAGGCCUUCGGGUUGUAAAGUACUUCCAGCGGGCAGGAAGGGAGUAAAGUUAAUACCUUUGCUCAUCGACGUUACCCGCAGAAGAAGCACCGGCUAACUCCGUGCUAGCCGCCGCAGUAA